AUAAGAGGUCCCACCUGCCCUGUGACUCUAAGUUUAACGGCCGCGGUAUUCUAACCGUGCGAAGGUAGCGCAAUCAAUUGCCUUUUAAAUGAAGGCCUGUAUGAAUGGUAUAACGAGGGUCUAGCUGUCUCUUUUUUCUAGUCAGUUAAACUGAUCUGUCCGUGCAGAAGCGGACAUAAAUAUACAAGACGAGAAGACCCUAUGGAGCUUUAGACACUAGCCAACUGUGAAUAAGCGACUGAACUGAGCAAGUCCUAAAUACCCGCAGCCUUAUGGUAAUGUAGUCUUAGGUUGGGGCGACCACGGGAGAAAGUAAAGCUCCCAAGCAGACCGGGAAAACCCUUAAGCCGAGAGUUGCAACUCUAAGCCGCAAAAUUUUUGACUGAAAUGAUCCGGUUGAAAAACCGAUUAACGAACCAAGUUACCCUAGGGAUAACAGCGCAAUCCUCUCCCAGAGUCCCUAUCGACGAGGGGGUUUACGACCUCGAUGUUGGAUCAGGACAUCCUAAUGGUGCAGCCGCUAUUAAGGGUUCGUUUGUUCAACGAUUAAAGUCCUACGUGAUCUGAGUUCAGACCGGAGUAAUCCAGGUCGGUUUCUAUCUGUAA
Molecule: ribosomal RNA, 606 nt
Filed under: Engraulis japonicus (Japanese anchovy)
Lineage: Eukaryota; Metazoa; Chordata; Actinopteri; Clupeiformes; Engraulidae
Description: partial 16S ribosomal RNA
Rfam family: Bacterial large subunit ribosomal RNA
Source: RNAcentral